This is an RNA transcript of Drosophila innubila, 711 nucleotides long. It is a transcript of the gene named protein KRTCAP2 homolog, with no coding region annotated. The record is from RefSeq and is a predicted model, not a curated record. The transcript is spliced from 4 exons. NCBI's taxonomy places the organism in Eukaryota, Metazoa, Arthropoda, Insecta, Diptera, Drosophilidae.
UGCUGUGGUUUGAGUAAUCAAUUGCAGACACUAUCGACACUUUUUAUGCCGAAAAAAGCGAUUAAAUUUCUAUCUCAAAUAUGUCGGCAUCAAUUACCACCAAGAGUACUCUAAUCUCUUCGAUUAUCUCCGGCAUAUUGAGUUUAGUUAUAUUUGCAACGUUGCGUUUCUAUGCCCAAUGGUUCAAUGACUCCCAAUUAAACAUUUUGUUUGGCGGCUACCUUUUCUCCUGGUUGUUUAUACUAAGCCUAACCUGCCUGUCAAAUGCAGAGAUGCUGAUUUUUGGCCCCGAUUUUCAAGCCAAGCUUGUGCCGGAAAUUCUUCUAUGUCUUUCGCUAACAGCGGCUGCAGCAGGCGUUGUUCAUCGUGUUUGUGCGACAACCAGUAUUAUUUUCUCCUUGGUCGGACUAUAUUUUCUGAAUCGAAUCUCAUCAAAGUAUUAUAACAACGCAGUUAUUGCUGUGGAUGCUCCAUUGCGAAAAAGUGGUAAAAAAUACAAAUAAAUUUCAUAAUUUAUAUACGAUUUUGUAAUAUGUAAAAUGAGGAAAUUCAUUGUAUAAGCUAAAAACUAAUGACUAAUUACAAUUUAUUUAAUCACGAAGCUGCUGCAUCAUUUCCAGCUUCUGAUGCAACUUCAUUUCCGGCUUCUGUUAGUAAGCUCAGUAUAUUAAAGUCAAUAAAUCGCACCAACUGUAGUAAUGAUAAAAUAAA